This 498-nucleotide ribosomal RNA is filed under the name uncultured bacterium. RNAcentral's name for it is "partial 16S ribosomal RNA". It matches the Rfam family "Bacterial small subunit ribosomal RNA", at positions 28 to 507 of the family's 1533-position model. The record is from RNAcentral.
GACGAACGCUGGCGGCGUGCCUAAUACAUGCAAGUCGAACGAGAGCGACCGGUGCUUGCACUGGUCAAUCUAGUGGCGAACGGGUGAGUAACCCGUGGGUAACCUGCCCAUCAGAGGGGGAUAACAUCCGGAAACGGAUGCUAAAACCGCAUAGGUCUUCGAGCCGCAUGGCUUGAAGAGGAAAAGAGGCGCAAGCUUCUGCUGAUGGAUGGACCCGCGGUGCAUUAGCUAGUUGGUGAGGUAACGGCUCACCAAGGCCGUGAUGCAUAGCCGACCUGAGAGGGUGAUCGGCCACAUUGGGACUGAGACACGGCCCAAACUCCUACGGGAGGCAGCAGUAGGGAAUCUUCCGCAAUGGACGCAAGUCUGACGGAGCAACGCCGCGUGAGUGAAGAAGGUUUUCGGAUCGUAAAACUCUGUUGUUAGAGAAGAACAAGUGCUAGAGUAACUGUUAGCGCCUUGACGGUAUCUAACCAGAAAGCCACGGCUAACUACGUG